CACAAAGAUAAUUCAUCAUUAUGAAGUUUAAGAACACCGAAGGCUCACAGUUUCAUGGCACAUGCUCCCAACUACGGGGCUACAAGUAGUUCCUCUACUUUCCUAAGGCUUGAAGGCUGUCUCUGGUCAGACCUCAUUCUGGGAACCCUCUUAACAGAUCCUACCCACGGUGACAGCCUGGACAGCACCUGAGAAAGAGAAAGCACCCAUAUCUACUAGGUGUCUGACUAAUGGGCCAUUGAACACACAUAUCUCUAGAGGUUAAGGAUACCUGAUGUGGAACAACAGUACCAUGAACUCCAAUCCCACUGUCAGAAUUAUAAUGUUCACCUGGAUCUCUGCAUAUUGCCUGCUACCAGCUACCCUGGUUCUUUUACUCAACUCACCUAUGAAUGAUAGCUUCCACACUCUCAACCAUGCUGACUACCCAGAUAUCGGAACUAACAUAUUGCCUGCUACUGAGACCCAUUGUUCUAUAACCUGGCUGUAGUCUAUACUCUCUAGGUUCUGUCCAUGUUUACUGUACAUCUGGAUUAAAA
Long non-coding RNA from Piliocolobus tephrosceles (Ugandan red Colobus), 539 nucleotides. RefSeq lists it as uncharacterized. The transcript is spliced from 2 exons. NCBI's taxonomy places the organism in Eukaryota, Metazoa, Chordata, Mammalia, Primates, Cercopithecidae. The record is from RefSeq and is a predicted model, not a curated record.